RNAcentral lists this ribosomal RNA (301 nucleotides) under uncultured bacterium. Its description in RNAcentral is "partial 16S ribosomal RNA". It matches the Rfam family "Bacterial small subunit ribosomal RNA", at positions 509 to 807 of the family's 1533-position model. The record is from RNAcentral.
CAGUCGCCGCGGGAAUACGUAGGGUGCAAGCGUUAAUCGGAAUUACUGGGCGUAAAGCGUGCGCAGGCGGUCCGCUAAGACAGAUGUGAAAUCCCCGGGCUUAACCUGGGAACUGCAUUUGUGACUGGCGGGCUAGAGUAUGGCAGAGGGGGGUAGAAUUCCACGUGUAGCAGUGAAAUGCGUAGAGAUGUGGAGGAAUACCGAUGGCGAAGGCAGCCCCCUGGGCCAAUACUGACGCUCAUGCACGAAAGCGUGGGGAGCAAACAGGAUUAGAGACCCGUGUAGUCCCUGUCUCUUAUAC